CGCCUGUUUAUCAAAAACAUUUCUUUAUAAAUAUGUUAAGUAAGGCCUGCCCGAUGUAAUUAUGAAUGGCUGCGGUAUUGUGACCGUGCUAAGGUAGCAUAAUCAUUUGUUUUUUAAUUGAAAACUGGUAUGAAAGGUUUAACAAAGAUUGAGUUUUUAAAUAUUUAAUAAAAUUUUAAUUAUAAGUAAAAAUGCUUAUAUAAAAUAAAGGGACGAUAAGACCCUAAAAGCUUUAUUUUUACAGGUAAUUUUUAUUUUGUUUUUAUAUAAAUUUAUUUAGAAAUUUUUAACUGGGGUAGUUUAUUUAUUUUAAUUAAUUUUAAUUAAUACUUAAUGGUUUUAAGAGCCUUUAAAUAAAGAUUAAUAGAAAAAGUUACUUUAGGGCUAACAGCGUAAUAGGUAUUAGAAGUUCUUAUUUAUAUAUUUGAUUGCGACCUCGAUGUUGAAUUAAUGACUCUUUAUAGAGCAGAAUAUAUAAAAAGAAAGUUUGUUCAACUUUAAAAUUAUUACAUGAUUUGAGUUCAAAUCGGUUUAAGCCAGAUUGGUUUCUAUCUUUUGUUUAUAUACUCAAUAAUUUAUUUAGUACGAAAGGAUUAAUAAAUUUUU
Molecule: ribosomal RNA, 606 nt
Filed under: Parhyale hawaiensis
Lineage: Eukaryota; Metazoa; Arthropoda; Malacostraca; Amphipoda; Hyalidae
Description: partial 16S ribosomal RNA
Rfam family: Archaeal large subunit ribosomal RNA
Source: RNAcentral